AGUGAACGCUGGCGGUAGGCCUAACACAUGCAAGUCGAACGGCAGCACAGUAAGAGCUUGCUCUUACGGGUGGCGAGUGGCGGACGGGUGAGGAAUACAUCGGAAUCUACUUUUUCGUGGGGGAUAACGUAGGGAAACUUACGCUAAUACCGCAUACGUCCUACGGGUGAAAGCAGGGGAUCUUCGGACCUUGCGCGAUUGAAUGAGCCGAUGUCGGAUUAGCUAGUUGGCGGGGUAAAGGCCCACCAAGGCGACGAUCCGUAGCUGGUCUGAGAGGAUGAUCAGCCACACUGGAACUGAGACACGGUCCAGACUCCUACGGGAGGCAGCAGUAGGGAAUAUUGGACAAUGGGCGCAAGCCUGAUCCAGCCAUACCGCGUGGGUGAAGAAGGCCUUCGGGUUGUAAAGCCCUUUUGUUGGGAAAGAAAAGCAGCAGGUUAAUACCCCGCUGUUCUGACGGUACCCAAAGAAUAAGCACCGGCUAACUUCGUG
Molecule: ribosomal RNA, 492 nt
Filed under: uncultured bacterium
Lineage: Bacteria
Description: partial 16S ribosomal RNA
Rfam family: Bacterial small subunit ribosomal RNA
Source: RNAcentral